This 397-nucleotide ribosomal RNA is filed under the name uncultured bacterium. RNAcentral's name for it is "partial 16S ribosomal RNA". It matches the Rfam family "Bacterial small subunit ribosomal RNA", at positions 523 to 918 of the family's 1533-position model. The record is from RNAcentral.
AUACGUAGGGGGCGAGCGUUGUCCGGAAUGAUUGGGCGUAAAGGGCGCGUAGGCGGCCCGGUAAGUCUGGAGUGAAAGUCCUGCUUUUAAGGUGGGAAUUGCUUUGGAUACUGUCGGGCUUGAGUGCAGGAGAGGAAAGUGGAAUUCCCAGUGGAGCGGUGAAAUGCGUAGAGAUUGGGAGGAACACCAGUGGCGAAGGCGACUUACUGGACUGUAACUGACGCUGAGGCGCGAAAGUGUGGGGAGCAAACAGGAUUAGAUACCCUGGUAGUCCACACUGUAAACGAUGAAUGCUAGGUGUAGGGGGUAUCGACCCCUUCUGUGCCGCAGUUAACACAAUAAGCAUUCCGCCUGGGGAGUACGGCCGCAAGGUUGAAACUCAAAGGAAUUGACGGGG